This 253-nucleotide ribosomal RNA is filed under the name uncultured bacterium. RNAcentral describes it as "partial 16S ribosomal RNA". It matches the Rfam family "Bacterial small subunit ribosomal RNA", at positions 524 to 776 of the family's 1533-position model. The record is from RNAcentral.
UACAGAGGGUGCGAGCGUUAAUCGGAAUUACUGGGCGUAAAGCGUGCGCAGGCGGUUUUGUAAGUCUGACGUGAAAUCCCCGGGCUCAACCUGGGAAUUGCGUUGGAGACUGCAAGGCUGGAGUCUGGCAGAGGGGGGUAGAAUUCCACGUGUAGCAGUGAAAUGCGUAGAGAUGUGGAGGAACACCGAUGGCGAAGGCAGCCCCCUGGGUCAAGACUGACGCUCAUGCACGAAAGCGUGGGGAGCAAACAGG